CAGUCGCGUUCUCUGGGAUUCAGCCUUGCUUCUUGCUUGGUGCAUUUCCUAGUCUACGGGCCAGCAUGAAUCUUGAGCGGUGGAAAAGGGUUUGGGGAAUGUGGCACCUCCGGGUGUGUUAUAGCCCCUUGCUGUAUACACUGGUUGGGAUUGAGGAUUGCAACGGAUACCCUUCGGGGCUACUCGUCUGAUCUCUGAAGGUUGCUCCGGUACCGAAAGCGUGCUUACGGUCAUCGAAAGUGAUUUUCAAAAGGUUAGAACGGGUUAAAUUCGUUAAGGAUGUUGACGUAAUGGCUUUAAACGACCGUCUCGAAACACGGACCAAGGACUCUAACAUAUAUG
This 342-nucleotide ribosomal RNA is filed under the name Rhizophagus prolifer. Lineage: Eukaryota; Fungi; Glomeromycota; Glomeromycetes; Glomerales; Glomeraceae. The record is from RNAcentral.